CUGGCUCAGAAUGAACGCUGGCGGCGUGCUUAACACAUGCAAGUCGAACGAGAAAUCUUUAGCUUGCUAGAGAAAGUAAAGUGGCGCACGGGUGAGUAACGCGUGGGUAAUCUGCCUCCGAAUCGGGGAUAACAUUGCGAAAGCGAUGCUAAUACCGGAUAAAAUCUGGUUGGCUUCGGUGAACCGGAUCAAAGGUGGUCUCUUUAUAAAAGCUACCGUUUGGAGAUGAGCUCGCGUACCAUUAGUUAGUUGGUGAGGUAAAGGCUCACCAAGGCGACGAUGGUUAGCUGGUCUGAGAGGAUGAUCAGCCACACCGGAACUGGAACACGGUCCGGACUCCUACGGGAGGCAGCAGUGAGGAAUUUUGCGCAAUGGGGGAAACCCUGACGCAGCAACGCCGCGUGAGUGAUGAAGGCUUUCGGGUCGUAAAGCUCUGUCAGGUGGGAAGAACCCACCAAGUGUUAAGACCACUUGGUGCUGACGGUACCACCGAAGGAAGCACCGGCUAACUCCGUGCCAGCAGCCGCGGUAAUACGGGGGGUGCGAGCGUUAUUCGGAAUCAUUGGGCGUAAAGGGCGCGCAGGCGGUUUUGUAAGUCAGAUGUGAAAUCCCGGGGCUUAACCCCGGAAGUGCAUAUGAAACUAUGAGACUUGAGUAUGGGAGAGGGAAGCGGAAUUCCUGGUGUAGCGGUGAAAUGCGUAGAUAUCAGGAGGAACACCGGUGGCGAAGGCGGCUUCCUGGACCAAUACUGACGCUGAGGCGCGAAGGCGUGGGGAGCGAACAGGAUUAGAUACCCUGGUAGUCCACGCAGUAAACGUUGAUCACUAGGUGUAGCGGGUAUUGACCCCUGCUGUGCCGGAGUUAACGCAUUACGUGAUCCGGCUGGGGAGUACGAUCGC
RNAcentral lists this ribosomal RNA (899 nucleotides) under uncultured organism. Its description in RNAcentral is "bacterial SSU rRNA". It matches the Rfam family "Bacterial small subunit ribosomal RNA", at positions 19 to 889 of the family's 1533-position model. The record is from RNAcentral.